RNAcentral lists this ribosomal RNA (492 nucleotides) under uncultured bacterium. Its description in RNAcentral is "partial 16S ribosomal RNA". It matches the Rfam family "Bacterial small subunit ribosomal RNA", at positions 29 to 507 of the family's 1533-position model. The record is from RNAcentral.
AGUGAACGCUGGCGGUAGGCCUAACACAUGCAAGUCGAACGGCAGCACAGUAAGAGCUUGCUCUUACGGGUGGCGAGUGGCGGACGGGUGAGGAAUACAUCGGAAUCUACUUUUUCGUGGCGGAUAACGUAGGGAAACUUACGCUAAUACCGCAUACGACCUACGGGUGAAAGCAGGGGAUCUUCGGACCUUGCGCGAUUGAAUGAGCCGAUGUCGGAUUAGCUAGUUGGCGGGGUAAAGGCCCACCAAGGCGACGAUCCGUAGCUGGUCUGAGAGGAUGAUCAGCCACACUGGAACUGAGACACGGUCCAGACUCCUACGGGAGGCAGCAGUGGGGAAUAUUGGACAAUGGGCGCAAGCCUGAUCCAGCCAUACCGCGUGGGUGAAGAAGGCCUUCGGGUUGUAAAGCCCUUUUGUUGGGAAAGAAAAGCAGCAGGUUAAUACCCCGCUGUUCUGACGGUACCCAAAGAAUAAGCACCGGCUAACUUCGUG